Molecule: ribosomal RNA, 254 nt
Filed under: uncultured bacterium
Lineage: Bacteria
Description: partial 16S ribosomal RNA
Rfam family: Bacterial small subunit ribosomal RNA
Source: RNAcentral
AAACUGGAGAUGGCGACCGGCGCACGGGUGAGUAACACGUAUCCAACCUGCCGAUAACUCGGGGAUAGCCUUUCGAAAGAAAGAUUAAUACCCGAUGGUAUAAUUAGACCGCAUGGUCUUGUUAUUAAAGAAUUUCGGUUAUCGAUGGGGAUGCGUUCCAUUAGGCAGUUGGUGAGGUAACGGCUCACCAAACCUUCGAUGGAUAGGGGUUCCGAGAGGAAGGUCCCCCACAUUGGAACUGAGACACGGUCCAA